RNAcentral lists this ribosomal RNA (446 nucleotides) under uncultured bacterium. RNAcentral describes it as "partial 16S ribosomal RNA". It matches the Rfam family "Bacterial small subunit ribosomal RNA", at positions 338 to 795 of the family's 1533-position model. The record is from RNAcentral.
CCUACGGGGAGCUGCAGUCGAGAAUCAUUCACAAUGGGGGAAACCCUGAUGGUGCGACGCCGCGUGGGGGAAUGAAGGUCUUCGGAUUGUAAACCCCUGUCAUGUGGGAGCAAAUUAAAAAGAUAGUACCACAAGAGGAAGAGACGGCUAACUCUGUGCAAGCAGCCGCGGUAAUACAGAGGUCUCAAGCGUUGUUCGGAAUCACUGGGCGGAAAGCGUGCGUAGGCUGUUUCGUAAGUAGUGUGUGAAAGGCGCGGGCUCAACCCGCGGACGGCACAUGAUACUGAGAGACUAGAGUAAUGGAGGGGGAACCGGAAUUCUCGGUGUAGCAGUGAAAUGCGUAGAUAUCGAGAGGAACACUCGUGGCGAAGGCGGGUUCCUGGACAUUAACUGACGCUGAGGCACGAAGGCCAGGGGAGCGAAAGGGAUUAGAUACCCGAGUAGUC